RNAcentral lists this ribosomal RNA (275 nucleotides) under uncultured bacterium. RNAcentral describes it as "partial 16S ribosomal RNA". It matches the Rfam family "Bacterial small subunit ribosomal RNA", at positions 399 to 691 of the family's 1533-position model. The record is from RNAcentral.
GCGUGGAUGAUGAAGGCCUUCGGGUUGUAAAGUCCUUUUGGCGGGGACGAUGAUGACGGUACCCGCAGAAGAAGCCCCGGCUAACUUCGUGCCAGCAGCCGCGGUAAUACGAAGGGGGCUAGCGUUGUUCGGAAUUACUGGGCGUAAAGGGCGCGUAGGCGGCCUUGUUAGUCGUGUGUGAAAUACCUGGGCUCAACCCGGGAAUUGCGCUCGAUACUGCAAGGCUUGAGUGUGGGAGAGGUUGGUGGAAUUCCCAGUGUAGAGGUGAAAUUCGU